UGGGGAAUUUUGGACAAUGGGCGAAAGCCUGAUCCAGCAAUGCCGCGUGUGUGAAGAAGGCCUUCGGGUUGUAAAGCACUUUUGUCCGGAAAGAAAUCCUUGGCUCUAAUACAGUCGGGGGAUGACGGUACCGGAAGAAUAAGCACCGGCUAACUACGUGCCAGCAGCCUCGGUAAUACGUAGGGUGCAAGCGUUAAUCGGAAUUACUGGGCGUAAAGCGUGCGCAGGCGGUUUGCUAAGACCGAUGUGAAAUCCCCGGGCUCAACCUGGGAACUGCAUUGGUGACUGGCAGGCUAGAGUAUGGCAGAGGGGGGUAGAAUUCCACGUGUAGCAGUGAAAUGCGUAGAGAUGUGGAGGAAUACCGAUGGCGAAGGCAGCCCCCUGGGGCCAAAUACUGACGCUCAUGCACGAAAGCGUGGGGAGCAAACAGGAUUAGAUACCCUGGUAGUCCACGCCCUAAAACGAUGUCAACUAGUUGUUGGGGAUUCAUUUCCUUAGUAACGUAGCUAACGCGUGAAGUUGACCGCCUGGGGGAGUACGGUCGCAAGAUUAAAACUUAAAGGAAUUGAC
Molecule: ribosomal RNA, 570 nt
Filed under: uncultured bacterium
Lineage: Bacteria
Description: partial 16S ribosomal RNA
Rfam family: Bacterial small subunit ribosomal RNA
Source: RNAcentral